RNAcentral lists this ribosomal RNA (327 nucleotides) under uncultured eukaryote. Its description in RNAcentral is "partial 18S ribosomal RNA". It matches the Rfam family "Eukaryotic small subunit ribosomal RNA", at positions 1470 to 1796 of the family's 1831-position model. The record is from RNAcentral.
CCCUUAGAUGUUCUGGGCCGCACGCGCGCUACACUGACGAAUGCAACGAGCUUAUAACCUUGGCCGAAAGGUCUGGGUAAUCUCCAAAUUUCGUCGUGAUGGGGAUAGAUUAUUGCAAUUAUUAAUCUUCAACGAGGAAUGCCUAGUAAGCGCAAGUCAUCAGCUUGCGUUGAUUACGUCCCUGCCCUUUGUACACACCGCCCGUCGUUCCUACCGAUUGAAUGGUCCGGUGAAGCGUUCGGACCGUGGCCUUUGGACGGUUCGCCGUCUGUUGGCUGCGGGAAGUUCGUUAAACCUUAUCAUUUAGAGGAAGGAGAAGUCGUAACA